RNAcentral lists this long non-coding RNA (5950 nucleotides) under Taeniopygia guttata (zebra finch). RNAcentral describes it as "lncRNA (ENSTGUG00000020081.1)". Lineage: Eukaryota; Metazoa; Chordata; Aves; Passeriformes; Estrildidae. The record is from RNAcentral.
UUUUUUUUUCUUUUUUUUUUUUUUUGACAUGGAAUAUUUGGUAGUCAGACAUGUUUUAAAAACUUUUUGCACAAUCUUAAAUUUGAGAAAAAAUAAUUAGGCUAAAUAUAUAAUUUUUCUUCAUUCUAAUUUUAAAAAACAGCAAAACAGCAAUAUCAUCACUUAUGCGAAUGGUAAUAAAAUCAAAAUAAUUAAAAGCCCAAACAAUUUUCAGAAGAGAAUACAAUACUGAUUUCCUUUUAAAUCAGAACUCAUUGCACUGAAGGAAAUCCUAGAAAUGUGGAGAAAAUAAACAUUAAAAAAAAUCAAUCCCACAACAACAUCUUUUGAUUCUGACCUUACUUCAGUGUCCUACUUUCACAGCUUUGUUUCUACAGUUAAGUAAGGUGAAUAUCAUAUUUAUUUUGACUUUUUAUUUUUAUUUCCAAAAAUAUCUUUGCAUUAAAGUUCUAAAAAGACAAUUAGUGACAAGAAUAGUUUCCUAUGUCAUGCCUUCAAUAGUCGCAUUCCUCAGCAUGGUUUCACAGCCCAGAAAUUUUUCUUAGUCAUUGAUUUUCACCUUUCAUUUUAUUUUCCAUUGCACUAUGCCUUUUUCCUGGGGAGUAGAAAGGCAUUUGGUCUGGUGGACCAGGUGAUUAACUCUGAAUGCAUCAGAUGUUCUUCUAACAACCAGGUCAUAGUUUUUCAAAGACUCCAUCCAGCUCUGUGUACUCUUUGUAGCUGCUUCUGUAAAUGACUGCUCCCAAGAUAACCAUGGCAUCUCUCUAGUUGGAUUCUGAAACAUAAAUUCAGCACUGGACACACAGUGUCUUGAUCUCCCAAAUUGUCUAUGGUGAAUGCAGAUUUUAACAUUUUGAACAGAGUCUGACAAUAUAAACUUAUCAAACCAAAUGAAAGUUUAGUUGAUAUAGGUGAAUCAGUUCAAAGUUACCAACAGAUUAUUUUUCUUGAAAAAAGAAAAUAGGUUAAAAGUUGCUGUUCUGCUCAGCCAUUGCCAAGUCAUAUUGAAAAUGCAUUUUCAAAACAGUUUUACUAUGUCUCAAGGACUACUUAAUUUUUCCUUAGUCCUUAUUUAUAAUGUUUGAAAUCCCUGUAUUCAUAUUAGUGUCUGCAGCUUUGUCUGAUAGGAUCUUCAUCAUAGCCUGCAAUUUUAUUAAAAAUAUUUUUCUAUUGUUUAUGCAAAAUGUGCCCUUGUUGAAAGAGGUACCUCCCAAAGAAGAAUUUUUGAAAGAGCUUCCUUUCGUUGUUGGUGAGUAUCUGACAGAAGAGGGUUUAGGGGUACAUCCUCUUUCCUACAAAUCGUAUUUAUAAGCUCUUUACGUCUGUAAUAGACUUUCAAAUUAUUAUUGUGUGUUACUUGUGGUACAGCUUGAUUGUGUCACUUCCUGUCAUUGUAAGUAGAUUCAUUAACCUCUGCAUUUCCUCAAAGGCUUCUCUCCCAAGAAGUUUGCAUCUUAGUAGUUUUCAAGGAUUGAGGGUAGCAUCAAGGCUUCCACUUCAAAAGAAUUCUUGAAACAAUUCUAGUUGUACCAGUCCCUUUGGCCAUUGGUUAUAUAUUAUUAUGUCAAAGGUAAUGUGCUUUUUAAAUCACUACAUAACACUCAAAUAUAUAAUCUAGUGCUGCUUCACCCAAAGUAUCCAUAGAGAUCUGGAGAUUUAUGUUUUAUCUCUCUGUCUGGGUGUAUAAAGCACAGAGAUUCCUUAAGUACCUUGUAGUACCCAGGAGCAAAUGGGGUAAUACUAUGCUACCAUUGUAAUCUUUUUGGUUGCAUAUAUUUCAAUUUAGCCUUAAGCACUUUUAGUGAAAAUGUCUGUUAAAUAAUUUAUUUCUGGAUAAAAUAGGAGACAAAUGUCAUCAUUUUAUAAUUCUUUAAUAGACCAUAAAAAUUGUUUUUCCCAUUGUUAUCUGAAAGGGCAAAGAACUUGCUUUAAGAUGUUAGACAGCAAAAUUUCUUGCCAGAUUUAGAGACAGAGUAUUUUCCUCCAUGUAGCCUGAUCCAUAAGGGCACUCAUAAUGAUGAUGGAGACUAUCAAAAUGCCUGCUGGACCAUCUGAGAGAGUAGCUUAGUGGGACUUUCAUGGAAGCAAAUAUUCUUUUCAGAUUUUGAGUCUGGUUACAGAAGCUGCAGCAGUGCUUACUUCACCAUGCCUGCUAGCAUGAAAAAGAAUAACUUUCUAAAUUAGUAUCAUAAUGUGAUAGCUGUAAAAGUAUAAUGUGCCUAAGAAUCUACAGGUCUGUCUCUGACAAAGCCCCUCAUCUUUGUAGCACCUCUCUGUCUACCUGUCUGCUCAUUUUCCAUGAGGCAUUUCUAUUUUAUGCCUACAAUGGCACAUUAAGACAAGAAUUUCUUUUCUGAUACAAUCUCCACACCAUAACUACUCUGACCUUCCAGUAUUUGUGUCAGUGAUUGCAGUCCCUAGCUUUUCUUGGCUUGCUGGUAGUAGCAGCUCUAUCUGUGCUGUCAUCCACAGCUUCUCUGGUUUUAGCCAUUCCACAUUUAUUAUGGAAGAGAGGUCAUAAUUUCAAUCAGUGUGCUUGCAAAUAAGUAGUAACUCCCACUAGCAAGAGUCCCUACACACUUCUAAUCAAAGAUAAUGUUUUGCUUUUCCCCAGCCAAUUCCUCCAAUUGUAUUGUCUUAAUAACGCUCCCCAUUCCUCAUCAUAUCUUCCUGGAUCAUAAUGGCUUUUGUCCAUUCUAGCAUUUUAUUCUCCAUCAUAGUCCUAUCUUCUGUGUCUUUGUUCUCAACAGACACAUUAUGUCUUGUUUAGCUGUCAUCAAAAGCAGCCAGUUUAUUCUCUCUGUGCAGCUACAGCUCUAGCUGUGACCAUUCUCUUGGGUAGAGCAUUCCUUAAUCAUGCAGAGGAUUUUUUAUUUUGCAAAUUCCCUGUUCUGUCCCUGCUUCCUGCAGAAACAUACUGGGUGAACAUUUGUCUUUUUCUCUUGCUUUUUCAGUAAAGUGAAAAUCUCUCCUUGACAAUACCUUCAAAACUCUUAUUCAUGCUUAUUUAAUAAACUAAGAUUCAAGUGGUUGGGAACAGAAAAUACCUUGGCUGCAGCACUUUUGAACAAUUCCUUUGGGACCGUCAGGUUUCAGUUGUCCUGUUCACUAUGGUGAAACACUCUUACUACUGAGAAAUACUUCUUCCUUUCUUAAUCUCCUGGUAUAGCCUCUUAUCCAUGCAGCUUAAAGAAAAGAUUUCUUACCUUUCUAAUUUCUUGCAUCAAUAUUAAGAGAAGCUAUGAACUUGACAAAAAUUCAAUUUCAAGGAUCACCACAUCUGUUGAUUUAAAAUAGCUUGCUGCUAACUCUAUGUAUGUUAAUGUCCACCAUCUGAACUAGAUUAUGGUAAAAUACAAAUAAAAGCUAUUUAUGCCUUUAAAUAUACAACAAUGUUAUGGAACAUUGUAAAGGAUGGGUAACAAAUGAACACUACUUUAUUGAAUUAUGCUAACAUCAGAUUUUUGUAUUGCUAGUAUUUAGCUGAAGACUCUCUCAUUUAAGAUGGGUCUCUAUUUUAGAGCAUAAUCGCUUUUUGAAGGCUUCUUCCUGGACAGUUUUAUGUUGUUUCUUAGACACACUGAACUUUGCUUGUUUGUUUUGGUUUUGUUAGUGUAAAUCUUCUCUUAGGAACUGUUCAAGCCCAUAAUAUUUUGGGAUUUCCCAAGCUUUUCCUUCCAAAAUAGUUUUCUUUCCCCAAAGCUUGUUCACCUAUAAGUACACAGAGACAUUUUUGACAUUUUUCCUGUUAAAUUACAAAGGUGCUUAGGUUUUAUUUAGAUUCUUUGGAAAUUAAAAGCCACCUGUUCUACAAUUGCUUAUUUACAUAUCUUGAAUUCUUUUAGUAGUAAAGUAAAACUCUCUUCCCUAUUUGCUUACUAAAUGUCUACAUUCCAAUGUAAAACAUCUCCACAAAAAAAGCCUUAAUUCUGAAACCAACUUGCAAUUUGAAAAACAUACCUAAUUCAGGGUUAUAGUUGGAAAAAUUGCUUGUCACUCAUUACCAUCUCUUGACUGAGACCAGACAGGAUAUUAAUCAACACUUUGAAAUGAUGAUGGCUUGAGAAACACUGGACCUGUGCUGUUUGGUGAAAAAAAACAGAGAAAUUUUGUUGGAAACAUAAGAUUUAAAGUCACAACCAAACUGUUGCAAUUAUUGAGGCUAAGUGCUUAGAUCAAAAUUCCUGAAAUGAACUUGAAAUGUGUGGAUAUAAUUAUUAAAUAAUAGAAAAUUAAUCUGGGAAGUAUAUUCUAAGUCCUGUAAUCCUUCCCUCUCUCCUUUAUGAUGACAUUCCAGAUAGGUGUCCAUCCAGUCCUUUAUAUUUAGUCAAAAAACAUCAUGUUCUGGGGAAUUGCAUUUGGAGUUUAGUUACCUUGUCUAGUCCUUGCUGAAAAUUAAAUAUAUUAUUACUUAUCCUAGCAGCCCUGGUCAUGGGCAAUGAAAUAUAAUUUUUUAAUUGUUUCUACAUGAUCUCUUUGAUUGUACUAACUACUAGUUUUUCUAACCUCUGUCAUGUCUUGACUAAGCCAGGUCAGAUUUUUUCCAUCAUUGCUGUUCAUGUCUUUCAGAUCUUUUCUUUCCUGAUUAAUCUGUUCAAGUAGCUUGUUUGAUAUUUUUUCCUUUGGAGUGCAUUACAACAAAACUACAUGUAAUGUUCAGAUGCAGCCAGUACUAAGGAAAUCAGAGUUAUGUUGCUCUCACUCACAGCUGUUGCUCAAGUUUGGCAUUAUCUUUUUCACAACACAGCAAUGAAAAAUUGAUUCCUGUUCAGCUUGUAAUAGCAUUCGCUCCUCAUGUUUUCUCCAUAUUUUAAGUGGUUGAAAGACUUCUGGUGACUCCGUGACACACAAAAUUUUAUUUAUUUAUACUGACGUUCCCACGUACAUUAUAUUCUCUAUUAAUUCUAUUUAUUUUUAUACUUUGUUUUCAAGCAUGAAAGUCAGACAGGUUGGUCCUUAGCUGUGUAGUUCUCCAGAAGCACUUUUUAAAUUAUUUGCAUUUAUUUCUGUGAAGUGUCUUUCAAAAUUAUUACAUUUCCUACUACCAUACAGAAAUUUAAUUUCUAAGCCUCUGUAGGACUCAAAAGAUAAUAUUGCAUGGCUUGGCUAUCUACUAAUGGUAAUUUUAUCUGUUUAUUUUAAAAACACAAUUUGAUGCUCAGGUCAAAAAAGUUCUGCCAUAUUUAAGAAGUUUCUGAGCUCACAUGUCCUUAAUUUUCUAAACUAUUUUCUGGUCAAUGUGCCCUAAAUAUGAGUAUGGACAUAUCCCAUUCUGCCACUUCACUCCUGUUUAUGUUUUGUAAGUUCACAGAAUCAUAGAAUUGUUUGGGAUGGAAGGGACCUUAAGUAAAAUUUCAUAGCUCUGCUCUCUGAGCUACCUGCAAGAAAUGUGUACCAGAGUGGCAGUACUGCCUCUGGAGACAAAGACCAGAUGGGAUGUGGCACCCUGUGCACCUUCAGCUGACUCUUUUUAAGUCUUCUAAUGAGUUAACGCAAUAUAGCUUCUUUAGAGCACUCACUAGAAAUGGGCAUGAAAAAUGCCAUUCUGUUUUUCGCUGACUGCUUUGUGGAAGUAGAUACAAUGAAAAUUUUCAAGAUUUGAGAAAAUAUUUUUCCUUCUGAACCCAGCUCUGGAUUUAAUUUCAUUGAGUCACCUGGGAUCUAAACACAAAAGGCCAUAAUUUCCCCUGGGCAGAGUAUAAAAACAGACACUCUAUUUAUAAGAGGCCUUUCUAAUAUGUUCAUAGUCCUGGUAGAUGGGGUUGCCAUUCAAGCUCUCCUGAUCAAAACUAGGAAAAAGCGUCAUUUUGUUGAUGUGUUGUCUUAUUUGUGGCAAGAACUAUCAAUCACAGUUUACAUUCUGGCUUUGGUUUCUGCAGAAGUUCAAAUCAGGAAGUAUGCAAGCAGGAACUUAGCUUGUUUCACAGUGGAAAAAAAAAAAAAAAAAAAA